This 470-nucleotide ribosomal RNA is filed under the name Triops sp. MTD:TW 4950. RNAcentral describes it as "partial 16S ribosomal RNA". It matches the Rfam family "Bacterial large subunit ribosomal RNA", at positions 1911 to 2597 of the family's 2925-position model. Lineage: Eukaryota; Metazoa; Arthropoda; Branchiopoda; Notostraca; Triopsidae. The record is from RNAcentral.
UAUGAAUUUUUUAAAUGGCCGCGGUAUUUUGACCGUGCGAAGGUAGCAUAAUCAUUAGUCUUUUAAUUGAAGGCUGGUAUGAAUGGCUGGACGAGAAAAUUUCUGUCUCUGUUAUAAAUUUUGAAUUUUAUUUUUAAGUGAAAAAGCUUAAAUUUGUUUGAGGGACGAUAAGACCCUAUGGAUCUUUAUAAUGAAAAACGGCAAAAAGGUUAGAUGUGACAGCUUGCGGUUUUAAAUUAUUAGGUUGGGGCGACCGGAAGAAAAAAGUAUCUCUUCUUUAAUAAAAUAUUUUUAAUAGAAAAAAGAUGACCCUGAAUUUUGGUUUAAAAGACUAAGUUACCCUAGGGAUAACAGCGUAAUCUUUUUGGAGAGUUCAUAUCGAUAAAAAGGUUUGCGACCUCGAUGUUGGAUUAAGAGAUCCUUGCGGCGCAGCCGUUGUAAAGGAGAGUCUGUUCGACUUUUAAUUUCUU